AAUGGGUCAGCGACUUAUAUUCUGUAGCAAGGUUAACCGAAUAGGGGAGCCGAAGGGAAACCGAGUCUUAACUGGGCGUUAAGUUGCAGGGUAUAGACCCGAAACCCGGUGAUCUAGCCAUGGGCAGGUUGAAGGUUGGGUAACACUAACUGGAGGACCGAACCGACUAAUGUUGAAAAAUUAGCGGAUGACUUGUGGCUGGGGGUGAAAGGCCAAUCAAACCGGGAGAUAGCUGGUUCUCCCCGAAAGCUAUUUAGGUAGCGCCUCGUGAAUUCAUCUCCGGGGGUAGAGCACUGUUUCGGCAAGGGGGUCAUCCCGACUUACCAACCCGAUGCAAACUGCGAAUACCGGAGAAUGUUAUCACGGGAGACACACGGCGGGUGCUAACGUCCGUCGUGAAGAGGGAAACAACCCAGACCGCCAGCUAAGGUCCCAAAGUCAUGGUUAAGUGGGAAACGAUGUGGGAAGGCCCAGACAGCCAGGAUGUUGGCUUAGAAGCAGCCAUCAUUUAAAGAAAGCGUAAUAGCUCACUGGUCGAGUCGGCCUGCGCGGAAGAUGUAACGGGGCUAAACCAUGCACCGAAGCUGCGGCAGCGACGCUUAUGCGUUGUUGGGUAGGGGAGCGUUCUGUAAGCCUGCGAAGGUGUGCUGUGAGGCAUGCUGGAGGUAUCAGAAGUGCGAAUGCUGACAUAAGUAACGAUAAAGCGGGUGAAAAGCCCGCUCGCCGGAAGACCAAGGGUUCCUGUCCAACGUUAAUCGGGGCAGGGUGAGUCGACCCCUAAGGCGAGGCCGAAAGGCGUAGUCGAUGGGAAACAGGUUAAUAUUCCUGUACUUGGUGUUACUGCGAAGGGGGGACGGAGAAGGCUAUGUUGGCCGGGCGACGGUUGUCCCGGUUUAAGCGUGUAGGCUGGUUUUCCAGGCAAAUCCGGAAAAUCAAGGCUGAGGCGUGAUGACGAGGCACUACGGUGCUGAAGCAACAAAUGCCCUGCUUCCAGGAAAAGCCUCUAAGCAUCAGGUAACAUCAAAUCGUACCCCAAACCGACACAGGUGGUCAGGUAGAGAAUACCAAGGCGCUUGAGAGAACUCGGGUGAAGGAACUAGGCAAAAUGGUGCCGUAACUUCGGGAGAAGGCACGCUGAUAUGUAGGUGAAGUCCCUUGCGGAUGGAGCUGAAAUCAGUCGAAGAUACCAGCUGGCUGCAACUGUUUAUUAAAAACACAGCACUGUGCAAACACGAAAGUGGACGUAUACGGUGUGACGCCUGCCCGGUGCCGGAAGGUUAAUUGAUGGGGUCAGCGCAAGCGAAGCUCUUGAUCGAAGCCCCGGUAAACGGCGGCCGUAACUAUAACGGUCCUAAGGUAGCGAAAUUCCUUGUCGGGUAAGUUCCGACCUGCACGAAUGGCGUAAUGAUGGCCAGGCUGUCUCCACCCGAGACUCAGUGAAAUUGAACUCGCUGUGAAGAUGCAGUGUACCCGCGGCAAGACGGAAAGACCCCGUGAACCUUUACUAUAGCUUGACACUGAACAUUGAGCCUUGAUG
Molecule: ribosomal RNA, 1537 nt
Filed under: Escherichia coli
Lineage: Bacteria; Pseudomonadati; Pseudomonadota; Gammaproteobacteria; Enterobacterales; Enterobacteriaceae
Description: partial 23S ribosomal RNA
Rfam family: Bacterial large subunit ribosomal RNA
Source: RNAcentral